This is a non-coding RNA of Macaca mulatta (Rhesus monkey), 1131 nucleotides long. The record is from the annotation of a RefSeq genome assembly. Lineage: Eukaryota; Metazoa; Chordata; Mammalia; Primates; Cercopithecidae.
GGUGUUACUGUCGAGAGACACACUCAUCCCAGACGUUGGUUGUGCAGAGGGCAAGGCUCAGGAAAAGUUCACCUUGACAGUGAGCCACAGGAACAAGGAAUCACAUUGAGGACCAUGUCCUGUGAGAUUCUGGGUUUCUGUAAGACGAGUUCUGUCUUCAUGGACAUCUGAGCAUGUCCGAGAACAAAUAUCAUUAACCAAUGAUCAUGGCAUGGAGCUCUGUAUCCCGCUGUGGCGUGGUCCACAUGUCACCUAUCUUCUUCCCCAGGGUGGGGUGGCUUGAGCUAUGAAAUACCUGCCUCAUAAUAUGCAAAUGCACUGGUGUCUGCCGAGGUAAAUACAGAUCUGUCCUUGUCCAGAGAGCAUCACACAACAACCACAUCCCUCCCCUACAGAAGCCCCAGAGCACAGCACCUCACCAUGGACUGGACCUGGAGGAUCCUCCUCUUGGUGGCAGCAGCUACAGGCGCCCACUCUGAGGUCCAGCUGGUGCAGUCUGGGGCUGAAGUGAAGAAGCCUGGGGCCUCAGUGAAGGUCUCCUGCAAGGUUUCCGGAUACACCUUCACCGAAUUAUCCAUGCACUGGGUGCGACAGGCCCCUGGAAAAGGGCUUGAGUGGAUGGGAGGUGUUGAUCCUGUAUAUGGUGAAAUAAUACACGCAGAGAAGUUCCAGGGCAGAGUCACCAUGACCGAGGACACGUCUACAGACACAGCCUACAUGGAGCUGAGCAGCCUGAGAUCUGAGGACACGGCCGUGUAUUACUGUGCGAGAGACACAGUGUGAAAACCACAUCCUGAGAGUGUCAGAAACCCUGAGGGAGGAGGCAGCUGUGCUGGGGCUGAGAAGUUGAUGGCAUUUAUGAGGUUUAAACAUGUUUAGAAAAUGGGUUAAGUAAUUGAGUAAAACAAGCAAUGGAAAGAUGUAUACACUGUCAUUAUAUAGGAAAUAGUAUUUUCAACCGUCACCCUAUAAGUAACACUCAUAGAGUGGGAAAGGCAGCCAUCAAUCAAGCCGAUGCAAACAUUCCCAUGGAGGCUUUAUGGGGACAUACAUUUUAAAACCGGGUGGGUAAACCAUUAGGAACAGGACUGCUUGAUCACAUGGUCAGACUAAAUAUAAUUUCCAAGAAGU